CAGCCCAGAGCCUGAAUCAGUAUGUGUGUUAGUGGAAGCGUCUGGAAAGGCGCGCGAUACAGGGUGACAGCCCCGUACACAAAAAUGCACAUGCUGUGAGCUCGAUGAGUAGGGCGGGACACGUGGUAUCCUGUCUGAAUAUGGGGGGACCAUCCUCCAAGGCUAAAUACUCCUGACUGACCGAUAGUGAACCAGUACCGUGAGGGAAAGGCGAAAAGAACCCCGGCGAGGGGAGUGAAAAAGAACCUGAAACCGUGUACGUACAAGCAGUGGGAGCACGCUUAGGCGUGUGACUGCGUACCUUUUGUAUAAUGGGUCAGCGACUUAUAUUCUGUAGCAAGGUUAACCGAAUAGGGGAGCCGAAGGGAAACCGAGUCUUAACUGGGCGUUAAGUUGCAGGGUAUAGACCCGAAACCCGGUGAUCUAGCCAUGGGCAGGUUGAAGGUUGGGUAACACUAACUGGAGGACCGAACCGACUAAUGUUGAAAAAUUAGCGGAUGACUUGUGGCUGGGGGUGAAAGGCCAAUCAAACCGGGAGAUAGCUGGUUCUCCCCGAAAGCUAUUUAGGUAGCGCCUCGUGAAUUCAUCUCCGGGGGUAGAGCACUGUUUCGGCAAGGGGGUCAUCCCGACUUACCAACCCGAUGCAAACUGCGAAUACCGGAGAAUGUUAUCACGGGAGACACACGGCGGGUGCUAACGUCCGUCGUGAAGAGGGAAACAACCCAGACCGCCAGCUAAGGUCCCAAAGUCAUGGUUAAGUGGGAAACGAUGUGGGAAGGCCCAGACAGCCAGGAUGUUGGCUUAGAAGCAGCCAUCAUUUAAAGAAAGCGUAAUAGCUCACUGGUCGAGUCGGCCUGCGCGGAAGAUGUAACGGGGCUAAACCAUGCAC
This 889-nucleotide ribosomal RNA is filed under the name Escherichia coli. RNAcentral describes it as "partial 23S ribosomal RNA". It matches the Rfam family "Bacterial large subunit ribosomal RNA", at positions 293 to 1194 of the family's 2925-position model. Lineage: Bacteria; Pseudomonadati; Pseudomonadota; Gammaproteobacteria; Enterobacterales; Enterobacteriaceae. The record is from RNAcentral.